CCUACGGGUGGCAGCAGUGGGGAAUAUUGCACAAUGGGGGAAACCCUGAUGGUGCGACGCCGCGUGGGGGAAUGAAGGUCUUCGGAUUGUAAACCCCUGUCAUGUGGGAGCAAAUUAAAAAGAUAGUACCACAAGAGGAAGAGACGGCUAACUCUGUGCCAGCAGCCGCGGUAAUACAGAGGUCUCAAGCGUUGUUCGGAAUCACUGGGCGUAAGGCGUGCGUAGGCUGUUUCGUAAGUCGUGUGUGAAAGGCGCGGGCUCAACCCGCGGACGGCACAUGAUACUGCGAGACUAGAGUAAUGGAGGGGGAACCGGAAUUCUCGGUGUAGCAGUGAAAUGCGUAGAUAUCGAGAGGAACACUCGUGGCGAAGGCGGGUUCCUGGACAUUAACUGACGCUGAGGCACGAAGGCCAGGGGAGCGAAAGGGAUUAGAUACCCUUGUAGUC
Molecule: ribosomal RNA, 446 nt
Filed under: uncultured bacterium
Lineage: Bacteria
Description: partial 16S ribosomal RNA
Rfam family: Bacterial small subunit ribosomal RNA
Source: RNAcentral